UAUUCCUACUUUUGUGUGAGAUGACAUCACACUGUGCUGCAUAUUAUUUUCUAAUAGUAUAUUUAUCUCUUUUUCAGAAUGACUUAAGUCAAGCUAUCAGUCAGGAAGAGUUGCAACAUGGAAUGAGAGGUAUACACACAGCAAGUCCAAGACCGAUGCUAUCUGUGCUGUGUUGGCUGAAAGUGGUGAGAGGGAUUAUGCCUCUAGAAAUAGCAUCUUGGAUACGUUACUAAAGCUCUGGAGUGCUGGCAAAGAGGUUGCAGUACUUGAAGUUGUAUCAUCUGGUCUCAACCUUGGUGCAAGUGAAGCCCUUUCAAUGAGAAACGAACAACGUGAACUGUCUGUUUCUGUAAAUGCUCCACCUGAACCUGAAAACUCUGCACAGGGUCACCUCGGUGCAGAUGAGUCUCUUACUGUGGAUGCUCCACCAUCUGAACUUGAAAACUCGGCACAGGGUAC
Molecule: long non-coding RNA, 459 nt
Organism: Frankliniella occidentalis (western flower thrips)
Lineage: Eukaryota; Metazoa; Arthropoda; Insecta; Thysanoptera; Thripidae
Exons: 3
Source: RefSeq, a predicted model, not a curated record